This 73-nucleotide transfer RNA is filed under the name Chloroflexaceae bacterium. Its description in RNAcentral is "tRNA-Arg". It matches the Rfam family "tRNA". Rfam says of the family: Transfer RNA (tRNA) molecules are approximately 80 nucleotides in length. Their secondary structure includes four short double-helical elements and three loops (D, anti-codon, and T loops). Lineage: Bacteria; Bacillati; Chloroflexota; Chloroflexia; Chloroflexales; Chloroflexaceae. The record is from RNAcentral.
GCCCUCGUAGCUCAGUGGAUAGAGCAAAGGUUUCCUAAACCUUUGGCCGUGCGUUCGAUUCGCACCGAGGGCG